This 621-nucleotide ribosomal RNA is filed under the name uncultured bacterium. Its description in RNAcentral is "bacterial SSU rRNA". It matches the Rfam family "Bacterial small subunit ribosomal RNA", at positions 53 to 695 of the family's 1533-position model. The record is from RNAcentral.
GCAUGCAGUCGAGCGAGAACCUCCGGUUCGCCGGAGGGGAGAGCGGCGGACGGCUGAGUAACGCGUGAGCAACCUGUCCUUGAGUGGGGUAUAACCUCGAGAGAUUGAGGCUAAUCCCGCAUAAGUUCCCCCAACCCUGGUUGGGGGAGGAAACCCAGCUUGCUGGGGCUCGUGGAGGGGCUCGCGUCCUAUCAGGUAGUUGGUGAGGUAACGGCCCACCAAGCCGAAGACGGGUAGCUGGUCUGAGAAGAUGGUCAGCCAGCGGGAAACUGAGACACGGUUCCCACUCCUACGGGAGGCAGCAGCAAAGAAUCUUGGGCAAUGGGCGAAAGCCUGACCCAGCGACACCGCGUGGAGGAUGAAGGCCUUCGGGUCGUAAACUCCUUUUCCAGGGGAAGAGAAAGGACGGUACCCUGGGAAUAAGCCCCGGCUAACUACGUGCCAGCAGCCGCGGUAACGGCAAGCGUUACCCGGAUUUAUUGGGCGUAAAGAGCGCGUAGGCGGCUGGAUAAGUCUCCUGUGAAAUCUUCCGGCUCAACUGGAAGAGGUCAGGGGAUACUGUUCGGCUUGAGGGCAGCAGAGGAAGACGGAAUUCCCGGUGUAGCGGUGAAAUGCGUAGAU